RNAcentral lists this ribosomal RNA (408 nucleotides) under uncultured bacterium. RNAcentral's name for it is "partial 16S ribosomal RNA". It matches the Rfam family "Bacterial small subunit ribosomal RNA", at positions 28 to 526 of the family's 1533-position model. The record is from RNAcentral.
GACGAACGCUGGCGGCGUGCCUAAUACAUGCAAGUCGAGCGAAGCAGCGGUUGAGUGAGAAACGCCUGGUUAACCUGCCCUUAAGUCUGGGAUACCAUUUGGAAACAGAUGCUAAUACCGGAUACUAAGGUAUUGACCUGCGUUGCAUUAGCUAGUUGGUAAGGUAACGGCUUACCAAGGCGAUGAUGCAUAGCCGAGUUGAGAGGAUGAUCAGCCACAUUGGGACUGAGACACGGCCCAAACUCCUACGGGAGGCAGCAGUAGGGAAUGUUGCACAAUGGACGAAAGUCUGAUGGAGCAACGCCGCGUGAUUGAAGAAGGUUUUCGGAUCGUAAAGCUCUGUGGGUGGUGAGGCGGUAAUCAACCAGGAAGUAACGGCUAACUACGUGCCAGCAGCCGCGGUAAUUC